UAGUUAUGCAACUUUGGAACUGGGGGAAGCCUUAUAGGUCAUUCAGGCCAAACGGAUUACUUGAUGGAUGGGGAAGGUGAAGCAAGGAGAAGCGGCUUGCCCAAUAUCACACAGUUUACCAUUCUAUCAAAUCUGGAGCCCAGAAGGUACUUGCUGAGCACCCACUCUCUGCCCAGUGCCCUGUUGAGACUCUGUGCCCUGCCUCAAGGAGUGCAGAAACCGGAAAUGGUGGGAAAAUGAGCAACUCUCGGGCUUAAGACUGUCCUUCGAGUUAUAGAAUGUUUCGCAGCAUCUCUGGCUUACACCCACUAGAUGCCAGUGGCAAUCUCUCCACGGUUAAGACAACUGGAAAUCUCUGCAGCUGUUGCCCAACGUCUCCUGGUAGGCAAAGUCACCCUGGCGGAGAACCACGGCGAGACGCAGUUUGAUAUGUUGGAGAGAUCGUAAAAAUCAGGAGCAAGAGAAUUGAGUCUCUUCUAUGUGGUUCGGACGUCAGUUUCCCCAUUUGAAAAAGAAAGGAAUUGUACUGUAUUCAUUCAUCCACCUGUGCAUGUGUUCCUUCAACUCAAUCGGCAAGUCGUAAGCGCUGCUGUGUGCCAGGCAUCCUUGUGGGUGUUACAGAUAGAACGCUGGCAUAAGGAAGACAUCGCCAGAAGCCUUAGAUCCAUUCCAUCCAGCACUGAAAUGGAGAGACCACAGGGAAUGGUCACAAGUGAAAACCGCAAAACUCUCAGCACAUACGGCUUUAUCCACCCCCCACACCAAGAGUCUUGAACAAGCUUGAGCAUGGCUUCUGUUAGCUGGAGGCCAUAUCCCUGGGAUAACAACUCCAGUCCUCUUUAAAUGGCCACCUGAGAAAGCUCAAAGCUGCCAAAAGAAUUUACUAUUUGUUCUAGCCAAUACCUGACUCUAAGCCCCUGACAUCACUUUUCUUAGAAGAUUUACGUUAGAAAACUUGCAAUUGUGAAUCCUUUCUUGUUCCUUGAGACUUAUCUUCUGCAAUCCAGAAAUAUCUGUCCCGAGGACCUGGGAGCCAUCCCUUGGAAUACAAUCAGCAAGAAGAUAGAGCCAGGGCCUCCCCACCUCUGUGGGCGGGCGGGACUAACUUUGACAAAAGCCACAGAGGCCUCAGCACACGGGCCACCGGCCCUUACUGUCCUUUGGUACUUCUCCUUCGGCACACCCCAGCAUUUAAAAAAGCCUCCUGUUUCUUGUUCGGUGGGGUUGAGCUCAGUUUACACACUGAAGUCUCUCCCCUACCACAGUCAGCUCCAAUAAAGUCCGUCUUGCCGUUUUUAA
Long non-coding RNA from Prionailurus viverrinus (fishing cat), 1299 nucleotides. RefSeq lists it as uncharacterized. The transcript is spliced from 4 exons. The record is from RefSeq and is a predicted model, not a curated record. NCBI's taxonomy places the organism in Eukaryota, Metazoa, Chordata, Mammalia, Carnivora, Felidae.